AAAUGACGGUACCUGACUAAGAAGCACCGGCUAACUAUGUGCCAGCAGCCGCGGUAAUACAUAGGGUGCAAGCGUUGUCCGGAAUUAUUGGGCGUAAAGAGCUCGUAGGUGGUUCGUUACGUCGGAUGUGAAAACCUGAGGCUCAACCUCAGGCCUGCAUUCGAUACGGGCGAACUUGAGUGUGGUAGGGGAGGCUGGAAUUCCUGGUGUAGCGGUGGAAUGCGCAGAUAUCAGGAGGAACACCAAUGGCGAAGGCAGGCCUCUGGGCCACUACUGACACUGAGGAGCGAAAGCGUGGGGAGCAAACAGGAUUAGAUACCCUGGUAGUCCACGCUGUAAACGGUGGGCACUAGUUGUGGGAACCUUCCACGGUUUCUGCGACGCAGCAAACGCAUUAAGUGCCCCGCCUGGGGAGUACGAUCGCAAGAAUGAAACUCAAAGAAGGGCGAAUUUCGCG
Molecule: ribosomal RNA, 457 nt
Filed under: uncultured microorganism
Description: bacterial SSU rRNA
Rfam family: Bacterial small subunit ribosomal RNA
Source: RNAcentral